GUUUGGAAUGCUCACGCCCGAGCGGACCCUGGACUUCGCUGGCUUCCUUCUGCGUGUGUCCAGGCGCCCAGGUCUUCCCAGCAGGCAGUGUGGCAGGCGGAGCAGCCACCACAGCCCGGAACGUUGGGGUGGAACCUGGACAUCUUGAGCCCAAACUUGGCAAGAUCAGCUGUGUUCUCUUCUUGAGUUUUCCCUUCUCAGAAACCUUUAGGAGAACACAGGCCCCCAGUGUGAGUCACUGGUUCAAACUGGAGAUGUCCCCUGAGGGGGAUCAGAGCUACACUGACACUUGUCAGGGUGCAAGUGAUGCUGCUGUAACAAAAGACCCAAGACACAGCAGUGUGGAUGGGCGGCAUCCCUUUCUCUUGGGCACAGGGCUGGUGUGGUGGCCUGGCAGGGGUGAGGACCCAGCUCCUGUCUCUUUCCCUAGCCACGUGGAGCAGCCCGCAUCCCUGGGAGCCCUCAGCCCUAACAUCAGCCGCUCCUUCCGGGAGCUCGGGCUCCUGCGGUGAGAAACACUGCGGAAAACAGGGUCGGCGGCCUUUCUGCAGGCACCAGGCACGCUGUCACAUGAGCCCAGACGGCACUGACUGCAGCUUCUGGGUGGCUUCUCCCAGCCCCACACAGGCAGAAGCACACAUGGGGUGAGCCUGCCCCUCCCAUCCAGCCCAGACUGCUGUGUGGCAAAGCGGGUCCCUGGACUACCUGGACCACUUACAUCUCCUCUUCAUUUCUGCGGUGGCUCUGAACCUCGUGUGGGAUAUGACUGGUCCCAGAUUUCCCUCUCCUGUGCUCACCCCUUUGAUUUAAUUUACUGUAAAGCACUGAGCAGCUUCUGCGCUGGGUGCGGGCAGGGAGCAUCCCCUACCGCCCCCUCACCGGCCUCCCUGGGGGGGGCCUGGUGGCUUUCGGGGUGGCUUCCUGUGGGCCUACUUUGGAAGGUGGCCAGGCCUGUGCACACCUGGUCCCCUGCCUCACCAACAGACGACACCCGCAUGUGCACACGUGCCCUCAGUCUCCUCCUGGGACACAUCCCUGACAUCAUGGAGAAAACAAGCACAGGAUGGGACCCAGGCCCCCAGCAGGGCCCCAAGGUGGCCUGAGACCCAGGAAGAGGGGCCCAGCGCCCCCACUCGAGGGAGUCGCAGACAGAGCCCCCACGCUGCAUGCCAGCCAUCGGGAACCUGCCUGGCGGGACAAGGCCGCUCUCGCUGUGGGGUUUUCCUUUCCCUACUUUUGAAUGUUCUUUGUGUGUUAGGGACCUUCCCCUUCCACCUGAGUCACGGUUCCAAAUGUUUUCUCCCAGGUCAUUUGCCUUGCAGGCCUGCUUGUCUCUGUUCUUGUGAGGCUGUUUUUCAGGCGAC
RNAcentral lists this long non-coding RNA (1364 nucleotides) under Heterocephalus glaber (naked mole-rat). RNAcentral's name for it is "lncRNA (ENSHGLG00000045988.1)". Lineage: Eukaryota; Metazoa; Chordata; Mammalia; Rodentia; Bathyergidae. The record is from RNAcentral.